This 460-nucleotide ribosomal RNA is filed under the name uncultured bacterium. RNAcentral's name for it is "partial 16S ribosomal RNA". It matches the Rfam family "Bacterial small subunit ribosomal RNA", at positions 338 to 795 of the family's 1533-position model. The record is from RNAcentral.
CCUACGGGUGGCAGCAGUGAGGAAUAUUGGUCAAUGGACGCGAGCCUGAACCAGCCAAGUAGCGUGAAGGAUGACUGCCCUACGGGUUGUAAACUUCUUUUAUAUGGGAAUAAAACAGGGCAUGUAUACCUUUUUGUAUGUACUUUAUGAAUAAGGAUCGGCUAACUCCGUGCCAGCAGCCGCGGUAAUACGGAGGAUCCGAGCGUUAUCCGGAUUUAUUGGGUUUAAAGGGAGCGUAGGUGGGUUGUUAAGUCAGUUGUGAAAGUUUGCGGCUCAACCGUAAAAUUGCAAUUGAUACUGGCAGUCUUGAGUACAGUAGAGGUAGGCGGAAUUCGUGGUGUAGCGGUGAAAUGCUUAGAUAUCACGAAGAACUCCGAUUGCGAAGGCAGCUCACUAAACUGCCACUGACAUUGAUGCUCGAAAGUGUGGGUAUCAAACAGGAUUAGAUACCCUGGUAGUC